GACGAACGCUGGCGGCGUGCUUAACACAUGCAAGUCGAACGGAAAGGCCCCUUUGGGGGUACUCGAGUGGCGAACGGGUGAGUAACACGUGAGUAACCUGCCCUUGACUUCGGGAUAACUUCGGGAAACUGGGGCUAAUACCGGAUAGGAAUCCUUGCUGCAUGGUGGGGGUUGGAAAGCUUCGGCGGUUUUGGAUGGACUCGCGGCUUAUCAGCUUGUUGGUGGGGUAGUGGCUUACCAAGGCUUUGACGGGUAGCCGGCCUGAGAGGGCGACCGGCCACAUUGGGACUGAGAUACGGCCCAGACUCCUACGGGAGGCAGCAGUGGGGAAUAUUGCACAAUGGGCGGAAGCCUGAUGCAGCAACGCCGCGUGCGGGAUGACGGCCUUCGGGUUGUAAACCGCUUUCAGCAGGGGCGAAGCUUGUGGUGACGGUACCUGCAGAAGAAGCACCGGCUAACUACGUG
Molecule: ribosomal RNA, 465 nt
Filed under: uncultured bacterium
Lineage: Bacteria
Description: partial 16S ribosomal RNA
Rfam family: Bacterial small subunit ribosomal RNA
Source: RNAcentral